CGGGAAAAGCUCAAAUUUAAAAUCUGGCGGUCUCCGGCCGUCCGAGUUGUAAUUUAGAGAAGCGUUAUCCGUGCUGGACCGUGUAUAAGUCUCCUGGAAUGGAGCGUCAUAGAGGGUGAGAAUCCCGUCUUUGACACGGACUACCAGUGCAUUGUGAUGCGCUCUCGAC
RNAcentral lists this ribosomal RNA (169 nucleotides) under Schizophyllum sp. Its description in RNAcentral is "partial large subunit ribosomal RNA". It matches the Rfam family "Eukaryotic large subunit ribosomal RNA", at positions 99 to 261 of the family's 3401-position model. The record is from RNAcentral. Lineage: Eukaryota; Fungi; Basidiomycota; Agaricomycetes; Agaricales; Schizophyllaceae.